RNAcentral lists this ribosomal RNA (497 nucleotides) under uncultured bacterium. RNAcentral's name for it is "partial 16S ribosomal RNA". It matches the Rfam family "Bacterial small subunit ribosomal RNA", at positions 28 to 507 of the family's 1533-position model. The record is from RNAcentral.
GAUGAACGCUGGCGGCGUGCCUAAUACAUGCCAGUCGAGCGAACAGACGAGGAGCUUGCUCCUCUGACGUUAGCGGCGGACGGGUGAGUAACACGUGGAUAACCUACCUAUAAGACUGGGAUAACUUCGGGAAACCGGAGCUAAUACCGGAUAAUAUAUUGAACCGCAUGGUUCAAUAGUGAAAGACGGUUUUGCUGUCACUUAUAGAUGGAUCCGCGCCGCAUUAGCUAGUUGGUAAGGUAACGGCUUACCAAGGCAACGAUGCGUAGCCGACCUGAGAGGGUGGUCGGCCACACUGGAACUGGGACACGGUCCAGGCUCCUACGGGAGGCAGCAGUAGGGAAUGUUCCGCAAUGGGCGAAAACUUGACGGAGCAACGCCGCGUGAGUGAUGAAGGUCUUCGGAUCGUAAAACUCUGUUAUUAGGGAAGAACAAAUGUGUAAGUAACUAUGCACGUCUUGACGGUACCUAAUCAGAAAGCCACGGCUAACUACGUG